UUUUAAGACACUUUGCCGUACUGUCCAGACCCAAUGUACAUCACACACCUUGAAUCAGACCCUUAAAUGGACCAGUUCAGGGUCUCGCGCACAAACACCAAACCCCACGUUUUACAGAGUGUGGACCUUACAUCCAAACUGAGAAGGCAGAUUUCUCAGUCACUCACGCGGGGAGUCACCUUUUCCUGCCUCCAAGGGGAGACAACACUCCGGAUUCAGAGGGCUUAGUCGGGGGCAUUCCCCUCGGUGAAGCCCACCCACGCUUCCGCUCUCUGAUGACACUCGACGGAAUCAAGUUUCCAUCAUGAAAGACACAUCGUCACAAGUGGCAACAUGGAAGUUUAGGCUAGUUUGGGAUAUUAUUUUAGACACAUCUCACAAAUCGGAGACGAAAAGUCAGAUUGGAGCUCUGCGGGGAUUUGGUUUUUGAUGCCCACAGAUUCAGCAUAUUUCUUUAUUUGUGCAUUUACAUUUUUACACAGGGCAACUUGCCUUUCUACAACUUGAAUCAGAGCUUUUUAAAUGAAUGAAUUGAGCCGCCUUGCUACUGUACAAACUAAACAGUCAUGUGUGUUUAAACUAAGUAAGACACAUGACACUGCAGUGGAGACUUCGGGGGAAUAGCCCCAUUAUAGCCUUCCCUCUGGCAAGCAUACCCUCAGCCACUGUACCUCCCCCCACCUCAUCUAUAUAGAGCUUCUGUCUGGCAGUGACUUUCUGUCCUGGCAGGGCACUCUGGGGUGAGGGCGAAGCGGGGAGAAAUACACUUUAAUCAUGGUGGACUUCUGCUUUUAUUUGCCCGUACCUCCUUUCGCAAGCUUGCAACAGCCUCAUCUGUGACGACAGGAGGAAGGAGAACCAGAGCAGCCACUGGUCGGGUCAGUUUCUGCCACUUCAGAUCCUGUCUGGUGGGUUUUGGUGCAUUUAGAGAAGAUUUCAGUGGCUUUGGACACCUGCCUCGUGACUGUUAAACGACUGAAACAGA
Long non-coding RNA from Pseudoliparis swirei, 985 nucleotides. RefSeq lists it as uncharacterized. The transcript has 2 exons. The record is from RefSeq and is a predicted model, not a curated record. Lineage: Eukaryota; Metazoa; Chordata; Actinopteri; Perciformes; Liparidae.